UCCUGCCGGAGGCCAUUGCUAUCGGAGUCCGAUUUAGCCAUGCUAGUCGUGCGAGUUCAGACUCGCGGCACCGAGCUCAGUAACACGUGGCCAAACUACCCUACAGAGACGGAUACCCUCGGGAAACUGAGGUUAACCCGUCAUACCGAUCUCAGGCUUGAAUCGCAGAGAUCACAAAAUGCCCCGGCGCUGUAGGAUGUGGCUGCGGUUGAUUAGGUAGACGGUGGGGUAACGGCCCACCGUGCCCAUAAUCAGUACAGGUUGUGAGAGCAAGAACCUGGAGACGGAAUCUGAGACAAGAUUCCGGGCCCUACGGGGCGCAGCAGGCGCGAAACCUUUACACUGCACGGAAGUGCGAUAGGGGAAUCCCAAGUGCGAGGGCAUAUUAGCCCUCGCUUUUCUCGACUGUAAGGUGGUCGACGAAUAAGAGCUGGGCAAGACCGGUGCCAGCCGCCGCGGUAAUACCGGCAGCUCAAGUGAUGUCCCAUAUUAUUGGGCCUAAAGCGUCCGUAGCUGGCCGACCAAGUCUCCCGGGAAAUCCACCCGCCCAACGGGUGGGCGUCCGGUAGAAACUGGCCGGCUUGGAACCGGAAGGCUCAGAGAGUACGUCCGGGGUAGGAGUGAAANNNCGUAAUCCCGGACGGACUACCGAUGGCGAAAGCACUCUGAGAAGACGGCUUCGACAGUGAGGGACGAAAGCUCGGGUCUCAAACCGGAUUAGAUACCCGGGUAGUCCGAGCUGUAAACGAUGCUCGUUAGGUGUGGCACCCACUACGAGUGGGUGCUGCGCCGUAGGGAAGCCGCUAAACGAGCCGCCUGGGAAGUACGUCCGCAAGGAUGAAACUUAAAGGAAUUGGCGGGGGAGCACUACAACCGGAGGAGCCUGCGGUUUAAUUGGACUCAACGCCGGACAUCUCACCAGCUCCGACUACAGUGAUGACGACCAGGUUGAUGACCUCAUCACGACGCUGUAGAGAGGAGGUGCAUGGCCGCCGUCAGCUCGUACCGUGAGGCGUCCUGUUAAGUCAGGCAACGAGCGAGACCCGCACCCCUAAUUGCCAGCAACAAUUUCGAUUGGUUGGGUACAUUAGGAGGACUGCCAGUGUUAAACUGGAGGAAGGAACGGGCAACGGUAGGUCAGUAUGCCCCGAAUGAGCUGGGCAACACGCGGGCUACAAUGGCUAAGACAAUGGGUCGCUAUCUCGACAGAGAACGCUAAUCUCGAAACUUAGUCGUAGUUCGGAUUGAGGGCUGAAACUCGCCCUCAUGAAGCUGGAUUCGGUAGUAGCCGCCUUUCAGUAGAAGGCGACGAAUACGUCCCUGCUCCUUGUACACACCGCCCGUCA
RNAcentral lists this ribosomal RNA (1346 nucleotides) under uncultured Haloquadratum sp. RNAcentral describes it as "bacterial SSU rRNA". It matches the Rfam family "Archaeal small subunit ribosomal RNA". The record is from RNAcentral. Lineage: Archaea; Methanobacteriati; Methanobacteriota; Halobacteria; Halobacteriales; Haloferacaceae.